AUUGAACGCUGGCGGCAGGCCUAACACAUGCAAGUCGAGCGAGCGGCGGACGGGUGAGUAAUGUCUGGGAAACUGCCUGAUGGAGGGGGAUAACUACUGGAAACGGUAGCUAAUACCGCAUACCAUCAGAUGUGCCCAGAUGGGAUUAGCUAGUAGGUGGGGGAACGGCUCACCUAGGCGACGAUCCCUUGCUGGUCUGAGAGGAUGACCAGCCACACUGUAACUGAGACACUGUCCAGACUCCUACGGGAGGCAUCAGUGGGUAAUAUUGCACGAUGGGCGCAAUCCUGAUGCAGCCAUGCCGCGUGUUUGAAGAAGGCCUUCGGGUUGUAAAGCACUUUCAUCGGGGAGGCGUUACCCGCAGAAGAAGCACCGGCUAACUCCGUGCCAGCAGCCGCGGUAAUAC
This 406-nucleotide ribosomal RNA is filed under the name uncultured bacterium. Its description in RNAcentral is "partial 16S ribosomal RNA". It matches the Rfam family "Bacterial small subunit ribosomal RNA", at positions 30 to 526 of the family's 1533-position model. The record is from RNAcentral.